CCUACGGGAGGCUGCAGUGGGGAAUAUUGGACAAUGGGGGCAACCCUGAUCCAGCCAUGCCGCGUGUGUGAAGAAGGCCCUCGGGUUGUAAAGCACUUUCAGUGAGGAAGAACGCCUGGUGGUUAAUACCCAUCAGGAAAGACAUCACUCACAGAAGAAGCACCGGCUAACUCCGUGCCAGCAGCCGCGAUAAUACGGAGGGUGCGAGCGUUAAUCGGAAUUACUGGGCGUAAAGCGCGCGUAGGUGGCUUGAUAAGCCGGUUGUGAAAGCCCCGGGCUCAACCUGGGAACGGCAUCCGGAACUGUCAAGCUAGAGUGCAGGAGAGGAAGGUAGAAUUCCCGGUGUAGCGGUGAAAUGCGUAGAGAUCGGGAGGAAUACCAGUGGCGAAGGCGGCCUUCUGGACUGACACUGACACUGAGGUGCGAAAGCGUGGGUAGCAAACAGGAUUAGAUACCCGUGUAGUC
Molecule: ribosomal RNA, 465 nt
Filed under: Vreelandella stevensii
Lineage: Bacteria; Pseudomonadati; Pseudomonadota; Gammaproteobacteria; Oceanospirillales; Halomonadaceae
Description: partial 16S ribosomal RNA
Rfam family: Bacterial small subunit ribosomal RNA
Source: RNAcentral